AUGUUGUCUAGGUGGGUCUGGGUCUGGGCUAAUGUUGUCUAGGUGGGUCUGGGCUAAUGUUGUCUAGCUGGGUCUGGGCUAAUGCUGUUGUUUAGCUGGGUCUGGGCUAAUGCUGUUGUCUAGCUGGGUCUGGGCUAAUGCUGUUGUCUAGGUGGGUCUGGGUCUGGGCUAAUGUUGUUGUUUAGGUGGGUCUGGGUCUGGGCUAAUGUUGUUGUCUAGCUGGGUCUGGGCUAAUGUUGUUGUUUAGGUGGGUCUGGGCUAAUGUUGUUGUUGUUUAGGUGGGUCUGGGCUAAUGCUGUUGUCUAGGUGGGUCUGGGCUAAUGCUGUUGUCUAGGUGGGUCUGGGCUAAUGUUGUUGUUUAGGUGGGUCUGGGUCUGGGCUAAUGCUGUUGUCUAGCUGGGUCUGGGCUAAUGUUGUUGUUUAGGUGGGUCUGGGCUAAUGUUGUUGUUUAGGUGGGUCUGGGAUGAUGUUGUUUAGGUGGGUCUGGGUUAAUGUUGUUGUUGUUGUUGUUGUUUAGGUGGGUCUGGGCUAAUGUUGUUGUCUAGGUUUGGGUCUGGGUUAAUGUUGUUGUUGUUUAGGUGGGUCUGGGAUGAUGUUGUUUAGGUGGGUCUGGGCUAUUGGGUUGUUGUUGUUUAG
Oncorhynchus tshawytscha (Chinook salmon) is the source of this 636-nucleotide long non-coding RNA. Lineage: Eukaryota; Metazoa; Chordata; Actinopteri; Salmoniformes; Salmonidae. The record is from Ensembl.